UGACGAGUGGCGGACGGGUGAGUAAUGCUUGGGAACUUGCCUUUGCGAGGGGGAUAACAGUUGGAAACGACUGCUAAUACCGCAUAAUGUCUUCGGACCAAACGGGGCUUCGGCUCCGGCGCAAAGAGAGGCCCAAGUGAGAUUAGCUAGUUGGUAAGGUAACGGCUUACCAAGGCGACGAUCUCUAGCUGUUCUGAGAGGAAGAUCAGCCACACUGGGACUGAGACACGGCCCAGACUCCUACGGGAGGCAGCAGUGGGGAAUAUUGCACAAUGGGGGAAACCCUGAUGCAGCCAUGCCGCGUGUGUGAAGAAGGCCUUCGGGUUGUAAAGCACUUUCAGUUGUGAGGAAAAGUUAGUAGUUAAUACCUGCUAGCCGUGACGUUAACAACAGAAGAAGCACCGGCUAACUCCGUGCCAGCAGCCGCGGUAAUACGGAGGGUGCGAGCGUUAAUCGGAAUUACUGGGCGUAAAGCGCACGCAGGCGGUUUGUUAAGCUAGAUGUGAAAGCCCCGGGCUCAACCUGGGAUGGUCAUUUAGAACUGGCAGACUAGAGUCUUGGAGAGGGGAGUGGAAUUCCAGGUGUAGCGGUGAAAUGCGUAGAUAUCUGGAGGAACAUCAGUGGCGAAGGCGACUCCCUGGCCAAAGACUGACGCUCAUGUGCGAAAGUGUGGGUAGCGAACAGGAUUAGAUACCCUGGUAGUCCACACCGUAAACGCUGUCUACUAGCUGUGUGUG
Molecule: ribosomal RNA, 737 nt
Filed under: Alteromonadales bacterium HOT2C4
Lineage: Bacteria; Pseudomonadati; Pseudomonadota; Gammaproteobacteria; Alteromonadales
Also listed under: 10 other names
Description: bacterial SSU rRNA
Rfam family: Bacterial small subunit ribosomal RNA
Source: RNAcentral